CAGUCCACAGAACAGCUAGCUUAAAAACACCUGAUUCUUAUUUUUCUCAAAUUGUUCCUAUUUUUCAGAAACAAAUUCAAAGUGGAAACAUAUUUUACUUACAAGAUAUAAUCAAUUGUUAACUUUACUCAAGUAUUAUCGACUGAGAAAUUGUAUUUAGUGAAGUGACAAUCAACAAUUUCGUUUCUUACUUAAUACCAGGAAAUUAAUUGUGUCGAUUAUAAUUCGAUUCUAUUUGUGGUGAGGGUGAAGUUGUUUUGAUACGUGAAUUGAUCACCCUAAUAUUCAAUGAAUGUCUAAUCAUAUUCAAAAGCGUAAAGUGUCACAAAUUCUAGACUUGUCACAAGAAAAUCAAGCAAUUUGUUGGAACCCUUUGAACCAAUCCAGCCAAGCUACAAUAAUUGACACCAAUCCCACCACAAUCUUGGAGGUUUACUUUGAAUUAGUAUUGUACAGCUAAAAGGGUCACAUCAAUAUUUAAUAUCGUCAAUACUGCGACAAUCUGUCACUAUUCAGCUCUCCUGUAAUCGAUGUGACCUGUUAUUUUUAACAAAGAAAUACUGGAUUCCACCAGAGUUUCUGUACAACUUGGCCUGAAUUAUCUACCUGACAUUGUAUCAAAUCGUUUAUUUUGCUAUUAUUAAGCUAUCAAGCCCAAUUCCAGUUUCAACUAACCGAACCGAGUGGUUAUUGUCGAGAAGUGGACUGCCGACAUUUUUGAUGAAGCUCAAUUAAUAGUUAAGUACGUAAUACAACGAAAGGAAGCCACCAAAAAGCCCGAGUUCUGCUAAGUCAUGGUCUCUUUAGUCAUUAUUAACAAGGGCAGCAAAACUUAUUGCGACUAGAUAACUACCUACGCCUUUUUGUUUGUUUUUUUACUGUGUGGCAUAUUAAGGUCACGAUUCAUACAUAGUAACCAUUCCAUUGUGAUUUUGACUGUGACCAAUCCAACUCGGAUACUUCAGUCACAAUCCAUCCAGCAGUAGCAACACACACUCCAAAAGAAACGCCUGCAAAACACUUGGGACAAGACAUUUUCACGAGGAUCUACAACAUAAAACAUUCGCAUUCAUGAAAACUCCCCGGUUAUCAUUCCCAUUAGCUUAAAACCACUUGAAAUGAAAUAGUAUAACAAAAACCUGCCUGCAACUCGUUUAGGGUUUUGAAUUUGUUCCAAGUGUAGUGACACUCGAGACAGACAAAUUUCAUAUUGAACACUUUUGCCAAGAAAUUCAAGGUUGAGAACGGAUUCGGAUAACCAUUUCUGUCUGAGAAAAAUCAUCCGGUUCAUGUACCAUCAAGUGACCUGCAACUCAGGAGAAACGAGAAAAAAAGAAUAUUUUAAACUUUGUUGACCACAUUCGCCAGGAAAUUGUAAAAGAUUGAAGAGAUUUUUCCAAUUCAUUCCAUUUUUCCAAGAAGAAUUUGAAAAACACCGUGGUACAAACAAUGGCUUGCUCAACAAUCUCAAAAAUGGUAUCGAGACCCAGCCUGGUCCUUCUCGGACUCGUCCUGCUCGCAAUGGCUGUCAGCAUAUCAGGAAAUCCGAUCCCUGACUCAGAAAGCGUCGGUGAAAACAUUAAGGACUCUGUAAAUUCAGCCAAGAACUUCAUUGACCGAGCACAGAACACGUUCACUGGAAAGGAUGUCAAGAAGGAAGAAAAACUAACUCCCCUUGAAAUAGGUGCCAUUGUCGCGGCGGCUGUGAUACUGCUGUUGGUUCUGCCUUGUUGUAUUGGAUACUGCCUUUGCGAAUGUGUCAAAGAACUGAUUUGCUGUAUUUGCUGUUGUGGUUGUUGCAGAGAUUAGAAAAAGAGUAUUAUAUACAGUUGACGGCACAAAAAGAAGUUGACGAACUAUGAGAAUCUGUUAUCUGAGAUUUAUUUGUUUAAUUAAGUAUAUUUAGUUUUCUAUUUUGAAGGGAUUGUGUAGCUUGUAUUAUGUACAAUGAUUGAUUUAUAUUAUUUAGUGCAUUGACUGAUUCCAUUUUUCUUCGUCCUAACCAUAUAAUUUAAUUUCUUAAUGCAGCUCGGGUGGGAGAAAUUUUCUGAAAUUAUACAAAAUUUGUACAAUGUGCUCUGUUCUAAAAAAAGUAUACAGAGCUUUGUAUUCACUUUCAAAUAUUCGAAUCUCGAAAAUAUUUACAGUGUUCAAAAACCAGAGCUAGGACUAAAUAAUAAUUUACUGUUGUAGGAUUAUCUAUAUACAAAACAAAAUAUGUAUUAAUUUUGUUAAGCAUUCAGGAUAAACGCACUGAUUUACAUACAAGUCCAGUAAAUGUAAGAAUAAUCGACUACAGACAAAUGUUGUGAUUACGAUUCUGAAAAGUAUGAAUGUUUAUGUAUGUAAUAAUUGUUGCACUCCAGGUUGAAUUGAGUGUUAAUAAAUCUUUUUAAAAUACA
This is an RNA transcript of Folsomia candida, 2402 nucleotides long. RefSeq lists it as uncharacterized. The record is from RefSeq and is a predicted model, not a curated record. The transcript has 4 exons. NCBI's taxonomy places the organism in Eukaryota, Metazoa, Arthropoda, Collembola, Entomobryomorpha, Isotomidae.